UGGGGAAUUUUGGACGAAUUGGGGGCAACCGUCGAUCCAGCAAUGCCGCGUGUGUGAAGAAGGCCUUCGGGUUGUAAAGCACUUUUGUCCGGAAAGAAAACGUCGUGGUUAAUACCCGUGGCGGCUGACGGUACCGGAAGAAUAAGCACCGGCUAACUACGUGCCAGCAGCCGCGGUAAUACGUAGGGUGCAAGCGUUAAUCGGAAUUACUGGGCGUAAAGCGUGCGCAGGCGGUCCGCUAAGACAGAUGUGAAAUCCCCGGGCUUAACCUGGGAACUGCAUUUGUGACUGGCGGGCUAGAGUAUGGCAGAGGGGGGUAGAAUUCCACGUGUAGCAGUGAAAUGCGUAGAGAUGUGGAGGAAUACCGAUGGCGAAGGCAG
This 380-nucleotide ribosomal RNA is filed under the name uncultured bacterium. Its description in RNAcentral is "partial 16S ribosomal RNA". It matches the Rfam family "Bacterial small subunit ribosomal RNA", at positions 355 to 724 of the family's 1533-position model. The record is from RNAcentral.